GACGAACGCUGUCGGCGUGCUUAACACAUGCAAGUCGAACGGAAAGGCCCUGCUUUUGUGGGGUGCUCGAGUGGCGAACGGGUGAGUAACACGUGAGUAACCUGCCCUUGACUUUGGGAUAACUUCAGGAAACUGGGGCUAAUACCGGAUAGGAGCUCCUGCUGCAUGGUGGGGGUUGGAAAGUUUCGGCGGUUGGGGAUGGACUCGCGGCUUAUCAGCUUGUUGGUGGGGUAGUGGCUUACCAAGGCUUUGACGGGUAGCCGGCCUGAGAGGGUGACCGGCCACAUUGGGACUGAGAUACGGCCCAGACUCCUACGGGAGGCAGCAGUGGGGAAUAUUGCACAAUGGGCGGAAGCCUGAUGCAGCAACGCCGCGUGCGAGAUGACGGCCUUCGGGUUGUAAACCGCUUUCGCCUGUGACGAAGCGUGAGUGACGGUAAUGGGUAAAGAAGCACCGGCUAACUACGUGCCAGCAGCCGCGGUGAUACGUAGGGUGCGAGCGUUGUCCGGAUUUAUUGGGCGUAAAGGGCUCGUAGGUGGUUGAUCGCGUCGGAAGUGUAAUCUUGGGGCUUAACCCUGAGCGUGCUUUCGAUACGGGUUGACUUGAGGAAGGUAGGGGAGAAUGGAAUUCCUGGUGGAGCGGUGGAAUGCGCAGAUAUCAGGAGGAACACCAGUGGCGAAGGCGGUUCUCUGGGCCUUUCCUGACGCUGAGGAGCGAAAGCGUGGGGAGCGAACAGGCUUAGAUACCCUGGUAGUCCACGCUGUAAACGGUGGGUACUAGGUGUGGGGUCCAUUCCACGGGUUCCGUGCCGUAGCUAACGCUUUAAGUACCCCGCCUGGGGAGUACGGCCGCAAGGCUAAAACUCAAAGGAAUUGACGGGGCCCCGCACAAGCGGCGGAGCAUGCGGAUUAAUUCGAUGCAACGCGUAGAACCUUACCUGGGUUUGACAUGGAUCGGGAGUGCUCAGAGAUGGGUGUGCCUCUUUUGGGGUCGGUUCACAGGUGGUGCAUGCCUGUCGUCAGCUCGUGUCGUGAGAUGUUGAGUUAAGUCCCGCAACGAGCGCAACCCUUGUUCACUGUUGCCAGCACGUUAUGGUGGGGACUCAGUGGAGACCGCCGGGGUCAACUCGGAGGAAGGUGGGGAUGACGUCAAGUCAUCAUGCCCCUUAUGUCCAGGGCUUCACGCAUGCUACAAUGGCUGGUACAGAGAGUGGCGAGCCUGCGAGGGUGAGCGAAUCUCGGAAAGCCGGUCUCAGUUCGGAUUGGGGUCUGCAACUCGACCUCAUGAAGUCGGAGUCGCUAGUAAUCGCAGAUCAGCAACGCUGCGGUGAAUACGUUCCCGGGGCU
RNAcentral lists this ribosomal RNA (1346 nucleotides) under uncultured bacterium. Its description in RNAcentral is "partial 16S ribosomal RNA". It matches the Rfam family "Bacterial small subunit ribosomal RNA", at positions 28 to 1381 of the family's 1533-position model. The record is from RNAcentral.